AUCUACGGCCAUACCACCCUGAACGCGCCAGAUCACGUCUCAUCUCGGAAGCUAAGCAGAGUUGGGCCUGGUUAGUACUUGGAUGGGAGAUUUAAUGACCGGUAUAAGACACGGGAAGAUU
This 121-nucleotide ribosomal RNA is filed under the name Ochotona princeps (American pika). Lineage: Eukaryota; Metazoa; Chordata; Mammalia; Lagomorpha; Ochotonidae. The record is from RNAcentral.